RNAcentral lists this ribosomal RNA (590 nucleotides) under uncultured ciliate. RNAcentral's name for it is "SSU rRNA". It matches the Rfam family "Eukaryotic small subunit ribosomal RNA", at positions 342 to 1019 of the family's 1831-position model. The record is from RNAcentral. Lineage: Eukaryota; Ciliophora.
UACCAUGGCAGUCACGGGUAACGGAGAAUUAGGGUUCGAUUCCGGAGAAGGAGCCUGAGAAACGGCUACUACAUCUACGGAAGGCAGCAGGCGCGUAAUUACCCAAUCCUAAAUCAGGGAGGUAGUGACAAGAUAUAACAACGCGACUAAAAAUCGCGAUUGUAGUGAGGGUUUUAUAAAACUAGCUUCGAGUACGAUUGGAGGGCAAGUCUGGUGCCAGCAGCCGCGGUAAUUCCAGCUCCAAUAGCGUAUAUUAAAGUUGUUGCAGUUAAAAAGCUCGUAGUUGGAUUUCAAGAGUCGCACCUGGGAUAACCACGUGCUCUCUACGGUCAUUUGACUGUUACUGUGAGAAAAUUAGAGUGUUUAAAGCAGGCUAUUGCAGGAAUACAUUAGCAUGGAAUAACGAUGUGUCUGGAAUUGGGUAAAUUCUAGAUUACGUUUAAUAGGGACAGUUGGGGGCAUUAGUAUUUAAUAGUCAGAGGUGAAAUUCUUGGAUUUGUUAAAGACUAACGUAUGCGAAAGCAUUUGCCAAGGAUGUUUUCAUUAAUCAAGAACUAAAGAUAGGGGAUCAAAGACGAUCAGAUACCGUC